UAGGGAAUCUUCGGCAAUGGACGAAAGUCUGACCGAGCAACGCCGCGUGAGUGAAGAAGGUUUUCGGUUCGUAAAACUCUGUUGUUAGAGAAGAACAAGGACGUUAGUAACUGAACGUCCCCUGACGGUAUCUAACCAGAAAGCCACGGCUAACUACGUGCCAGCAGCCGCGGUAAUACGUAGGUGGCAAGCGUUGUCCGGAUUUAUUGGGGGUAAAGCGAGCGCAGGCGGUUUCUUAAGUCUGAUGUGAAAGCACCCGGCUCAACCGGGGAGGUUCAUUGGUAACUGGGUGUCUUUAGUGCAGAAGAGGGGGGUGGAAUUCCAGGUGUAGCGGUGAAAUGCGUAGAUAAAUGGAGGAACACGAGUGGCGAAGGCGGCUCUCUGGUCUGUAACUGACGCUGAGGCUCGAAAGCGUGGGGAGCAAACAGG
RNAcentral lists this ribosomal RNA (429 nucleotides) under Gemmatimonadota bacterium. RNAcentral's name for it is "Gemmatimonadetes bacterium partial 16S ribosomal RNA". It matches the Rfam family "Bacterial small subunit ribosomal RNA", at positions 355 to 776 of the family's 1533-position model. Lineage: Bacteria; Pseudomonadati; Gemmatimonadota. The record is from RNAcentral.